CACAGGUCGCAGAAUAUGGUAAAUUGUGCCCUAAAUGGUAUAAGGCUCCAUUGAUAGAGAAAUAGAGAAGAUUUUGUUUUGAAGAAUCCAUAGUGAGAUACUUCCAGGGAAGUGUGAACAACUUUGCAAGAAAUAAAUAGAGGAGAACUUGAAAAGGAUUGCUCCUCUCACAUGGACCACACCAAGUACUCUUCCUAGGAGAAUGAAACAUCACUUAGGAGACUGAAUUGAGAUGGAUUGAGAAUUCACUUUAUUAGAAGAAACACCUUCAUUUUUCUCAUUAGUAUAUCUAACUAGACGGUGCUAUGCAGUCAUGAUCAUAUUCAUCUAGAUCUCACAUCUUUGCAAUUCAGGACCAAUGGGAUGCAUAAAUAUUACAUGAAUGUGUUCUAGUGAUAACUAUAAAGAAACACAAAU
Molecule: long non-coding RNA, 417 nt
Organism: Herpailurus yagouaroundi (jaguarundi)
Lineage: Eukaryota; Metazoa; Chordata; Mammalia; Carnivora; Felidae
Exons: 3
Source: RefSeq, a predicted model, not a curated record